GGAAUAUGAAUUUAAUACCCCCAGUGCAAUGCAGUAACAUGUGCUGGUUAUUUUGAUAUUAUUUUAGUCACUUCAAAACUGUUUACAUACCAGGACUGCCAUUAUAUCACAGGUUUUGCCUAACCCAUUCUUCUAAAGGGGUUAAAAAAUGUUGGGGCAGUCCUUGCAUUUUCAGUCAUUCAAAAGGUUCAGCAAUAUUUUCAACCUAUCUUUAAUCUUUGUAAAAUGAAUGGUAAAUGUUUCUCUUGCUACAUAAUAACAACUGAGCCUGUUAAACCUGCUUACACACCUACUAUUCUUUUCUUUUUUUUUUUUUGCAAUUCCAAGGAGAUGAGAUGCCCACUUGUGCUUAAGUGAAAUGAAAUGUAUGCAGACAAAAACUGUACGGUGCUCAUUGUGUGUCGAAGUAGGCAAUGUACCAAAACAUAAUAAUACACAUCACAAAUUCCGUCAGGGAACUGCCAAGGAGCAUCGGAAUUUCCUCCCUGGCACCCCUUGGGAGGUCAGUAUAUCAGCAGCAAUAGAUGUGGUUUAUUUUGGAUGGGAUACAACCACCCAUAUAGUCGGAUGACAAGAGGUGCAAAGCACAUUAUGUGGAAAUCAUGUUCGAACAUGUCUGGUUCCUAACUGUAUUUAGCCUUUAUAAACACCAAUGUCUUCCAGAAUUCUUUCCUGAGUGUUAACGAAUAAUAGUUAU
Molecule: non-coding RNA, 697 nt
Organism: Pelobates cultripes (western spadefoot toad)
Lineage: Eukaryota; Metazoa; Chordata; Amphibia; Anura; Pelobatidae
Source: the annotation of a GenBank genome assembly